CAGUCGCCGCGGGAAUACGAAGGGGGCUAGCGUUGUUCGGAAUUACUGGGCGUAAAGCGCACGUAGGCGGAUAUUUAAGUCAGGGGUGAAAUCCCGCAGCUCAACUGCGGAACUGCCUUUGAUACUGGGUAUCUUGAGUAUGGAAGAGGUUAGUGGAAUUGCGAGUGUAGAGGUGAAAUUCGUAGAUAUUCGCAGGAACACCAGUGGCGAAGGCGGCUAACUGGUCCAUAACUGACGCUGAGGUGCGAAAGCGUGGGGAGCAAACAGGAUUAGAUACCCGGGUAGUCCCUGUCUCUUAUAC
Molecule: ribosomal RNA, 301 nt
Filed under: uncultured bacterium
Lineage: Bacteria
Description: partial 16S ribosomal RNA
Rfam family: Bacterial small subunit ribosomal RNA
Source: RNAcentral